Molecule: long non-coding RNA, 1000 nt
Filed under: Androctonus crassicauda
Lineage: Eukaryota; Metazoa; Arthropoda; Arachnida; Scorpiones; Buthidae
Source: RNAcentral
AUCCCAUCUAUGCAUUAAUUUGUUUUAUAUAUGUAUUUUAAGUAUUAUUUUGCAAAUAAUUUUCAUUUUGAGAUACAAAAUAAAAACAUAAUGUAAUUGAGAAUUAUCAUAUUAGUAAAACAUUGUAAAGUGAGGUAUGCUUGGCACAAAUAGAGGAGCUACUGAUAGUUGAAGAUAUCUUAAUCAGCCUGGGAGACCUAGAGAUUGAAAAGCAAAAAUUAAGAUAGUUAAAUAUCUGUGGGAAGAAGAAGGGACUGACCCAACUAUAAGGAGCAUGAGACCUGUAGCCACUAUGACAUCCAACUCCUUAGACAGACACUCCAAAGACUGAGGGAGAACAAUUACACCAUCACAAGAGAGGGCAAAAUGAAGAAAAUGGCCCUAUUGGAAAGGGAGAAGUACAACCAUUUCCUGGAAGAUUACAUCAAGACAACACAACCCAGGCUAGUGCUUAAGGACCCUACCCAUGGAGCUAAAGGUGGCCGUAGAUAGAAUCAUUAGACAUGAUCACUUCUCGGAAAUAUGGAAACAUUGAAGGAUAUCAGCCGCAGUAUGCCCGAGACUGUUCGCCUAUAUAAAAACACACAAGGACCCAAUUUCACCAAGACUGCUAGUAGAGAAGAGAAGCACUCACCACAUACAACCUAGAACAGACACUGGCCAAGUGGUGCAUGAAUAUCCUCUGGCAAGACGAUAAUUCUAUCACCAUAACAAUAGAAGCCCUAGCUAGACUACAUGCAACUGACUGGCAACAUCCGGAUAUAGUUGUGAUUUAUGAUUUUGAAAGAUUGUAUCCUUCCCUCAAGCUGGAGCUGACAUGCCUGGCCUUCUAUAGGUUCAUGCUUGAAAACUUACCUGACGCACGAGAGAGCGCUGCUAUUAAGGGACUUCGCCCACCUUAUUUGCCAUUAUACAAGUUUAGAAGCAACAAACUACAGGUGUUCCGAUAGGUAGCCCUAUGGCAGCCCCCUUAACAGAAAUUAUCCUCAGGGAACUGGAG